AUCUUCGGGGCAGGGUGAAAUUCCCUACCGGCGGUGAUGAGUUUUGACUCUAAGCCCGCGAGCCUUUUUUAGGCAGGAUUCGGUGAGAUUCCGGAGCCGACAGUAUAGUCUGGAUGGGAGAAGAUG
This 126-nucleotide non-coding RNA is filed under the name Bacillus sonorensis. Its description in RNAcentral is "FMN riboswitch (RFN element)". It matches the Rfam family "FMN riboswitch aptamer (RFN element)". From Rfam's summary of the family: The RFN element is a highly conserved domain that is found frequently in the 5'-untranslated regions of prokaryotic mRNAs that encode for flavin mononucleotide (FMN) biosynthesis and transport proteins. This element is a metabolite-dependent riboswitch that directly binds FMN in the absence of proteins. In Bacillus subtilis, the riboswitch most likely controls gene expression by causing premature transcription termination within the 5' untranslated region of the ribDEAHT operon and precluding access to the ribosome-binding site of ypaA mRNA. Lineage: Bacteria; Bacillati; Bacillota; Bacilli; Caryophanales; Bacillaceae. The record is from RNAcentral.